AGCUGGCGGCGUGCCUAAUACAUGCAAGUCGAGCGAACAGAUGAGGAGCUUGCUCUUUUGACGUUAGCGGCGGACGGGUGAGUAACACGUGGGUAACCUACCUAUAAGACUGGAAUAACUCCGGGAAACCGGGGCUAAUGCCGGAUAAUAUGUUGAACCGCAUGGUUCAACAGUGAAAGACGGUUUUGCUGUCACUUAUAGAUGGACCCGCGCCGUAUUAGCUAGUUGGUGAGGUAACGGCUCACCAAGGCGACGAUACGUAGCCGACCUGAGAGGGUGAUCGGCCACACUGGAACUGAGACACGGUCCAGACUCCUACGGGAGGCAGCAGUAGGGAAUCUUCCGCAAUGGGCGAAAGCCUGACGGAGCAACGCCGCGUGAGUGAUGAAGGUCUUCGGAUCGUAAAGCUCUGUUGUUAGGGAAGAACACAUGUGUAAGUCACUAUGCACAUCUUGACGGUACCUAACCAGAAAGCCACGGCUAACUACGUGCCAGCAGCCGCGGUAAUACGUAGGUGGCAAGCGUUAUCCGGAAUUAUUGGGCGUAAAGCGCGCGUAGGCGGUUUUUUAAGUCUGAUGUGAAAGCCCACGGCUCAACCGUGGAGGGUCAUUGGAAACUGGAAAACUUGAGUGCAGAAGAGGAAAGUGGAAUUCCAUGUGUAGCGGUGAAAUGCGCAGAGAUAUGGAGGAACACCAGUGGCGAAGGCGGCUUUCUGGUCUGCAACUGACGCUGAUGUGCGAAAGCGUGGGGAUCAAACAGGAUUAGAUACCCUGGUAGUCCACGCCGUAAACGAUGAGUGCUAAGUGUUAGGGGGUUUCCGCCCCUUAGUGCUGCAGCUAACGCAUUAAGCACUCCGCCUGGGGAGUACGGUCGCAAGACUGAAACUCAAAGGAAUUGACGGGGACCCGCACAAGCGGUGGAGCAUGUGGUUUAAUUCGAAGCAACGCGAAGAACCUUACCAAAUCUUGACAUCCUUUGACCGCUCUAGAGAUAGAGUUUUCCUCUUCGGAGGACAAAGUGACAGGUGGUGCAUGGUUGUCGUCAGCUCGUGUCGUGAGAUGUUGGGUUAAGUCCCGCAACGAGCGCAACCCUUGAACUUAGUUGCCAUCAUUCAGUUGGGCACUCUAAGUUGACUGCCGGUGACAAACCGGAGGAAGGUGGGGAUGACGUCAAAUCAUCAUGCCCCUUAUGAUUUGGGCUACACACGUGCUACAAUGGACAAUACAAAGGGCAGCGAAACCGCGAGGUCAAGCAAAUCCCAUAAAGUUGUUCUCAGUUCGGAUUGUAGUCUGCAACUCGACUACAUGAAGCUGGAAUCGCUAGUAAUCGUAGAUCAGCAUGCUACGGUGAAUACGUUCCCGGGUCUUGUACACACCGCCCGUCACACCACGAGAGUUUGUAACACCCGAAGCCGGUGGAGUAACCAUUUGGAGCUAGCCGUCGAAGGUGGACAA
This 1454-nucleotide ribosomal RNA is filed under the name Staphylococcus lutrae. RNAcentral describes it as "bacterial SSU rRNA". It matches the Rfam family "Bacterial small subunit ribosomal RNA". Lineage: Bacteria; Bacillati; Bacillota; Bacilli; Caryophanales; Staphylococcaceae. The record is from RNAcentral.